This is a long non-coding RNA of Larimichthys crocea (large yellow croaker), 267 nucleotides long. RefSeq lists it as uncharacterized. The transcript is spliced from 3 exons. Lineage: Eukaryota; Metazoa; Chordata; Actinopteri; Sciaenidae. The record is from RefSeq and is a predicted model, not a curated record.
GUGCCUCUCUGGCCUUUGCUUCUCCCACUUCUCUGGCCGAUGGAGCUCCAUUGCAGGUGAUGUCUGCCCCCAACUUGUUGCGGGUAGGAACGGCAGAAAAAAUCUUUGUGGAGUGUCAAGACUGCACAGGAGGAGACAUUCGUGUCGAAAUCAUUGUGAUGAACCAUCCGACUAAAACCACAAGACUGGCAUCCACAGUUGUGACCCUCACUAGUGCAGAAGGUUUCCAGGCACUUGGAGAAAUAACCAUCCCUGUUGGUGUCUUCA